This 252-nucleotide ribosomal RNA is filed under the name uncultured bacterium. Its description in RNAcentral is "partial 16S ribosomal RNA". It matches the Rfam family "Bacterial small subunit ribosomal RNA", at positions 524 to 776 of the family's 1533-position model. The record is from RNAcentral.
UACGGAGGAUGCGAGCGUUAUCCGGAUUUAUUGGGUUUAAAGGGCGCGUAGGCGGACUGGAAAGUCAGCGGUAAAAUCGAGAGGCUCAACCUCUUUCCGCCGUUGAAACUGUCGGUCUUGAGUGGGCGAGAAGUAUGCGGAAUGCGUGGUGUAGCGGUGAAAUGCAUAGAUAUCACGCAGAACUCCGAUUGCGAAGGCAGCAUACCGGCGCCCGACUGACGCUGAGGCACGAAAGCGUGGGUAUCGAACAGG